AAUUACAACAGGGAAAAGGAACCCUGAGGAAGCCCAAGAAGGGAAAAAAAGACUUUGUUGACACUGAGGGAGUAGAGAAUUUCAGGAGAAAGAAAUUGAUCAACAGUAUCAGAUGCAUUAGCAAUGUGAAGCAAGACAUGAACUAAAAAGCAUCUCUGAGAUUUGGCAAACAGCAUUUGAAAUUAGGUUUAGUGAGAGAAGGAAAACAAGACAGCUUAAUGCCUGCUUCUUGGAAGAGAUGAUGUCAUGCUAACAGAUGACAGGGUGAGAGAAGGCUCCAGCUUGUCUGUUGCUUAUUUAUCCUACCUAAGGGGAGGAUCUCCACACAGGAAAAGCAGAACCAAUGUCCGCGACACAGAGGUGAUUAAUUGGUCUCUGAUUAAGAAACCCAGCACUUGCUGCCCUGGAUCAAGCCUUUGUGCUCACAUUUAAUCCUCCAUAGCCUUUCUGGUUCUGCAAGUGGUGGACAUCAUAUAACAGCAUUUUUCAAUCUUCAUAUCUGUGGGAUGGCGAUUAAUACAGAUAACCAUGACUGGUCAAGGUGUAGAAAAUAAGAGACCAUGGAAAGCUCAGCCCUGAUUGGAGCAUCUGUAUCACACUCCUCCUCCCAAAGCUCAGGAACAUUGUGGAAGAGACAGAAGAAAGAGUGUAAGAGCAAGAGGUGAUGGACAACUGCAACAAUACAGUGUCUUUAGAAACAUCAGGGCAACUGCACAGAUGAAGUGCAGCAGUUAUGAUAGCGUGUACAAGACCUGUUCUGUAGGAUGAUGUCAUCACGCAGGUGUGGGCAGGUACAAGAUAGAACGAGGCUUGUCAUUGGAAGAGAAAGAAAGAUGGGCGGGAGAAAAGUUUUAGAGUGAGAGAAGACUGGGAGGAGGCAGAAGAAGCAGGGAUAGAACAUGGAGGCUGAUGUUAAGAUUCCUCUCUGCACAUUUACAGGUUGUUAUGAAGAUUUUAAAGGGACGGAUGUGUACAGGGCUUUGUAUAUUUAGGUGGGGAAUUAUAUCUUAUUAAUUGGAUCAGAGGUUAUUGUGAGUUUGUUCUUUCAUGUGGCGAUUUAAGUUUAAGAGAGUAUGUGGCAGCCGGAGACACUAAGCCACAAUGGAAUUGGGAUGUAUGUUUCUGGCAUGGUGGCAACUUGCCUCGUGAACUAGAUGGGUAGAGAGAUUGUUGCCAGGCUCAGA
Rattus norvegicus (Norway rat) is the source of this 1184-nucleotide long non-coding RNA. RefSeq lists it as uncharacterized. NCBI's taxonomy places the organism in Eukaryota, Metazoa, Chordata, Mammalia, Rodentia, Muridae. The record is from RefSeq and is a predicted model, not a curated record.